UACGACGCAAGGCUGAAACUGAAAGGAAUUGACGGAAGGGCACACCAGGGGUGGAGCCUGUGGCUUAAUUUGAAUCAACACGGGAAAACUUACCAGGACCAGAUGUUUUUUAUGACUGACAGGCUUCGGGUCUUUCAGGAUAUUGUUUUUGGUGGUGCAUGGCCGUUGGUGGUGCGUGGGUUGACCUGUCUAGCGUUGAUUCAGCUAACGAGCGAGAUUAUCGCCAAUUAUUUACUUUGCCGAAGUCCUUCGGUUAAAGUUCUAAUUGGGACUCCCUGCGAUUUUAGCAGGUGGAAGAGGGUAGCAAUAACAGGUCCGUGAUGCCCUUUAGAUGCUCUGGGCUGCACGCGUGCUACAAUGUUAGGAUCAAUAGGACUGCGAGCCUGAGAGGGUGCGCUACUCUUAUAAUCCCUAACGUAGUUGGGAUUGACGUUUGUAAUCAGCGUCAUGAACCAGGAAUCCCUUGUAAAUGUGUGUCAACAACGCACGUUGAAUACGUCCCUGCCCUUUGUACACACCGCCCGUCGCUCCUACCGAUUGGAUGACUCGGUGAAAUCACCGGAUGCUUACGAGCAGAAAGUGAUUAAAUCACGUUAUCUAGAGGAAGGAGAAGUCGUAACAAGGUAACGGUAGGUGAACCUGCCGUUGGAUCAGUU
RNAcentral lists this non-coding RNA (656 nucleotides) under Trichomonas vaginalis G3. RNAcentral describes it as "Eukaryotic small subunit ribosomal RNA". It matches the Rfam family "Eukaryotic small subunit ribosomal RNA", at positions 1124 to 1831 of the family's 1831-position model. Lineage: Eukaryota; Parabasalia; Trichomonadida; Trichomonadidae. The record is from Rfam by way of RNAcentral.